AGAAAUAUACACGCUUCCUGAUUUCACUUUUCUUUUUCACUUUAGUACUCUAUAGUUUAAAGUUUAUUAAUUUAGUAUUUUAUAAUUUUAUUUUUUCUUUUCAUCCGUCCUUAUGUUAACUUUCGGAUACUCACUUUAAUACUGAUGUAACGAAAAAAAAUCAGUGGAAGAAGAUAACAAAGAAUUAAAAUAAAAUUACAGGGUAUAAAAGUGAUAUACUGUAAAUCACAUAAUACUAAAAAUGAGAAAGUACAAAAUCACACGGGUACAAAAUCACAUGGGUGAUGUUUGAAGUUUUUUCUUUUUUAUAUAUAAUAACUCUCAGAAAAUUUAUAAUUUGUUUAAGCAAAAUUUUAAAAAUAUUU
Molecule: long non-coding RNA, 365 nt
Filed under: Ananas comosus (pineapple)
Lineage: Eukaryota; Viridiplantae; Streptophyta; Magnoliopsida; Poales; Bromeliaceae
Description: long non-coding RNA (ACOM_LNC011609)
Source: RNAcentral